RNAcentral lists this ribosomal RNA (468 nucleotides) under uncultured bacterium. RNAcentral's name for it is "partial 16S ribosomal RNA". It matches the Rfam family "Bacterial small subunit ribosomal RNA", at positions 28 to 507 of the family's 1533-position model. The record is from RNAcentral.
GACGAACGCUGGCGGCGUGCUUAACACAUGCAAGUCGAACGGAAAGGCCCUGCUUUUGUGGGGUGCUCGAGUGGCGAACGGGUGAGUAACACGUGAGUAACCUGCCCUUGACUUUGGGAUAACUUCAGGAAACUGGGGCUAAUACCGGAUAGGAGCUCCUGCUGCAUGGUGGGGGUUGGAAAGUUUCGGCGGUUGGGGAUGGACUCGCGGCUUAUCAGCUUGUUGGUGGGGUAGUGGCUUACCAAGGCUUUGACGGGUAGCCGGCCUGAGAGGGUGACCGGCCACAUUGGGACUGAGGUACGGCCCAGACUCGUACGGGAGGCAGCGGUGGGGAAUAUUGCACAAUGGGCGGAAGCCUGAUGCAGCGGCGCCGCGUGCGGGAUGACGGCCUUCGGGUUGUAAACCGCGUUCGCCUGUGACGAAGCGUGAGUGACGGUAAUGGGUAAAGAAGCACCGGCUAACUACGUG